RNAcentral lists this ribosomal RNA (499 nucleotides) under uncultured bacterium. RNAcentral's name for it is "partial 16S ribosomal RNA". It matches the Rfam family "Bacterial small subunit ribosomal RNA", at positions 30 to 523 of the family's 1533-position model. The record is from RNAcentral.
AUUGAACGCUGGCGGCAGGCCUAACACAUGCAAGUCGAGCGGAUGACGGGAGCUUGCUCCUUGAUUCAGCGGCGGACGGGUGAGUAAUGCCUAGGAAUCUGCCUGGUAGUGGGGGACAACGUUUCGAAAGGAACGCUAAUACCGCAUACGUCCUACGGGAGAAAGCAGGGGACCUUCGGCCUUGCGCUAUCAGAUGAGCCUAGGUCGGAUUAGCUUGUUGGUGAGGUAAUGGCCCACCAAGGCGACGAUCCGUAACUGGUCUGAGAGGAUGAUCAGUCACGCUGGAACUGAGACGCGGUCCAGACUCCUACGGGAGGCAGCAGUGGGGAAUAUUGGACAAUGGGCGAAAGCCUGAUCCAGCCAUGCCGCGUGUGUGAAGAAGGUCUUCGGAUUGUAAAGCACUUUAAGUUGGGAGGAAGGGUUGUAGAUUAAUACUCUGCAAUUUUGACGUUACCGACAGAAUAAGCACCGGCUAACUCUGUGCCAGCCGCCGCGGUAA